Molecule: ribosomal RNA, 627 nt
Filed under: uncultured fungus
Lineage: Eukaryota; Fungi
Description: eukaryotic LSU rRNA
Rfam family: 5.8S ribosomal RNA (bases 222-375)
Source: RNAcentral
GAAGUAAAAGUCGUAACAAGGUUUCCGUAGGUGAACCUGCGGAAGGAUCAUUAAUGAUUGCGAAUGGUUGCCUUCGGUGCUGGCUCUUGCAAGUGCACGUUGGUGGCUUUCAUCCAAUACCCUUGUGAACCUUUGGCCUCUUGCUGGCUUUGGCCGGCAGAGGAUUUUUACACACACUCGAAUGUAAUGAAAACUAUUGUCGUGCGCAAGCACUAAUGUACAACUUUCAACAACGGAUCUCUUGGCUCUCGCAUCGAUGAAGAACGCAGCGAAAUGCGAUAAGUAAUGUGAAUUGCAGAAUUCAGUGAAUCAUCGAAUCUUUGAACGCACCUUGCACCCUUUGGUAUUCCGAAGGGUAUGCUCGUUUGAGUGUCAUUGUACUCUCACUCUCUCUGAUCCUUUGGAUUCAGGGAGUGGUGGACUUGGGUGUUUGCUGCUUUCCUUGUGGCUCACCUCAAAUGCGUCAGUGCACCUCUUGGUUGGACAUAGUACGGCGUGAUAAGUAUCUUCGCCGGCACCUCGCGAGAGGGUGGCCGAUCGGGAGCUCUGUGCUUUCAAACUGUCUUCGGACAAUCUCUGACAACUUGACCUCAAAUCGAGUAGGACUACCCGCUGAACUUAAGCAUA